UUGUACACACCGCCCGUCACGUCACGAAAGUCGGUAACACCCGAAGCCGGUGGCCCACCCCGUAAGGGAGGGAGCUGUCGAAGGUGGGACUGGCGAUUGGGACGAAGUCGUAACAAGGUAGCCGUACCGGAAGGUACGGCUGGAUCACCUCCUUUCUAAGGGGCACAGUACCGAUUGCAGGCAAAUGUUCUGCACGGUCAGCUCAUGGGUGGAACGUUGAUUAUUUGGCACGGUUUCCUGGAUGGAUCACGAGUACUGCUUCGGCGUGGAAAGUGACUCACUGAUGGGGGAUCGUGCCUGGCACGUUGUUGGGUGUCUGAGGGUACGGCCGUAAAGGUUGUGUCUUCGCGCCGGCCCCAGUGAACUCGUCAGCUUGUCUGGCGGGGUGAUGGGUGGCUGGUCGUUGUUUGAGAACUACACAGUGGACGCGAGCAUCUGUGGCCAAGUUUUUAAGGGCGCACGGUGGAUGCCUUGGCACCAGGAACCGAUGAAGGACGUGAGAGGCCGCGAUAGGCCCCGGGGAGCUGCCAACUGAGCUUUGAUCCGGGGGUGUCCGAAUGGGGAAACCCGGCAGUCGUCAUGGGCUGUCACCCACUGCUGAACACAUAGGCAGUGUGGAGGGAACGCGGGGAAGUGAAACAUCUCAGUACCCGCAGGAAGAGAAAACAACCGUGAUUCCGGGAGUAGUGGCGAGCGAAACCGGAUGAGGCCAAACCGUAUGCGUGUGAUACCCGGCAGGGGUUGCGCAUGCGGGGUUGUGGGAAUUCUUUUGACCGGUCUGCCGGCCCGGUCGGCGAGUCAGAAACCGUUGAUGUAGUCGAAGGACAUGCGAAAGGUCCGGCGUAGAGGGUAAGACCCCCCGUAGACGAAACAUCAGCGGCUUGCUUAAGAAUCUCCCAAGUAGCACGGGGGUCCCGAGAAAUCCCGUGUGAAUUCUGGGCGGGACCACCCCGGCUAAAGCCUUAAAAUAUUU
Molecule: small RNA, 973 nt
Filed under: Streptomyces sp. S1
Lineage: Bacteria; Bacillati; Actinomycetota; Actinomycetes; Kitasatosporales; Streptomycetaceae
Description: bacterial LSU rRNA
Rfam family: Bacterial large subunit ribosomal RNA (bases 440-973)
Source: RNAcentral